UACGUAGGGGGCAAGCGUUGUCCGGAUUUAUUGGGCGUAAAGAGCGUGUAGGCGGCCAGGUAGGUCAGCUGUGAAAACUCGAGGCUCAACCUCGAGACGCCGGUUGAAACCAUCUGGCUAGAGUCCGGAAGAGGAGAGUGGAAUUCCUGGUGUAGCGGUGAAAUGCGCAGAUAUCAGGAAGAACACCCGUGGCUAAGGCGGCUCUCUAGUACGGUACUGACGCUGUGACGCGAAAGCGUGGGGAGCGAACAGG
Molecule: ribosomal RNA, 253 nt
Filed under: uncultured bacterium
Lineage: Bacteria
Description: partial 16S ribosomal RNA
Rfam family: Bacterial small subunit ribosomal RNA
Source: RNAcentral